Loxodonta africana (African savanna elephant) is the source of this 2333-nucleotide long non-coding RNA. RefSeq lists it as uncharacterized. The transcript has 3 exons. The record is from RefSeq and is a predicted model, not a curated record. NCBI's taxonomy places the organism in Eukaryota, Metazoa, Chordata, Mammalia, Proboscidea, Elephantidae.
AGUGACUGCCAGCCUGCCACUUUGAAGCCUUUGGAAACAGUGAAUCUAAUUCAGGAGACUCAAAGGGAAAAAUCACAGCGGCUCUAGAUAACUAAGACAGAGAUCACCAAGAAUAUGUGGAAGAAUCCCUGAAUAAACAAAAGCAGUCCUUAUGAAGUUGAAACACCAGGUCUGAAUCACCAUAUGAGAGAUGUCAUUUAUUACUUGGUGGCAGCUUUUACACUGUAAGCUCCUUGAAGGCAAGGACAAUUUUCAUUCGCAUUUUUACCUGAUCCUUAUUAGCCAAAAAAAAAAACCAAACCCACUGCCAUCGAGUCGAUUCCGACUCAUAGUGACCCUAUAGAACAGAGUAGAACUGCCCCAUAGAGUUUCCAAGGAGCAUCUGGCGGAUUUGAACUGCUGACCUCUUGAUUCACAGCCGUAGCACUUAACCACUAUACCACUAGGGUUUCCAAUCCUUAUCAGGGGGAAAUAAUUUUAAGCAGAUUUGGUAAAGGCAAGAAUACUUAAAAGGCAUUAAAAUGCCACUUUUGAGUAAACUACGUUAUUUUUGUUGUUAACUAGCGUCCAGUUGGCACUGAUUUUUGGUGACCUUAUGUGUAACAGAACAAAAUGUUGCCUGGUGCUGUGCCCUCUCCAUGAUCUUUGAUACAUUUGAGCCCGUUGUUGCGGCUGUUGUGUUACUCAGUCUCAUUGAGGGUUUUCCUUAUUUUCACUGCCUGUAUUAUUACUUUCAAGAGAUAUGAAAUAGUGCAACCUUCAUUACUGAUAAUAAACCUAACCACUUGAUUUUUAGAUAUAUUAGAUGCUGGCUAUAUCCUGAGCUAGCUAUCUGAAUAAAGACCCAAAUAAACUCAACAUUAUUAUUUACAUCCUUUUUUGAAGGCUGUAAACUCCAUGUCCUGAAUACUCAGAUAGAGGAAACAUAUCUGACAGGGAAUUUUCUCUUAAAAAUUAACUUUCUUUAAAAUAUUGACUUUCUAUACAUUUUUCUAUGUAUCUUACAUUUAAAAAUCUUUAAAAGAAUGUUGAACUCUUAUUCUGUCUCCAAUUCUGUAUUUGUCUUUAUAAAAUUAUAUGACCAUGUCUUGGAAGAAGUACAGCCAGAAUGCUUUUUAGAAGUAAGGAUGGGGAGACUUCGACUUGUAUACUUUGGACAUGUUAUAAGGAGGGACCAGUUCUUAGAGAAGGACAUCAUGCUUAGUAGACAGUCAGCGAAAAAGAGGAAGACCUUCAAUGAGAUGAAUUGACACAGUGGCUGCAACAGUGGGCACAAACAUAACAACAGUCAGGGUGGUGCAUGACCAGGCAGUGCUUCAUCCUGUUGUACAUAGCGUUGCUGAGUAAGAAUGGACUCCACAGCACCUAACAGCAACUACCUUCAAAAUCAGAAUCUGCAUUUUAGGAAGUUCCCCAGGUGAUUCAUAUGUCCUUUAAGGUUAGAAGCAUUGCUGUAGGCUAUUUUGUUCCCAGCUCUCAUUGGAGCUUCAUAGACAGCUCACUUUGUUCCUGGUAGUAAUUGCUUUUGCUUUAGGUUGUGUUUUCCUAUUUGCUAGUAAAAACUGCCCUUCCUUUGGAAAAGCUUGCAAUUCUGUGUAUGUCUGGUUCAAAACAAGAAUGGAGUCUAUUUUAUAAGAGAGUUGUCUUUUAAAUAUUGUUCCUGAGUUGAGUUAAAAGCUGUUGUAUUGAUUGUGGCAUUAUCAAGCAAGCUGAAUUAUUAAUUUGACUUCAUUUGGCAGAUGGAAACAUUUUAAAAUCAGUGAUCUUAUGAAACAUGGUGCCCUCUGUCAUAGAGCUGUUAUCUUUCUCUUAAAGAUAUGCUAGUGCUAAUGAAUAUUUUAUAAUGUAUUUGCCUGGAUAUAAAUAAGUAACUAUCAUCUUAAAAAACAAGCAUUAACUUCAUCUGAAAAUGCUUACUUUGCAAAUUCAUUGUUUCCAGGAGAGGAAUCUGCAUUUAAGAUGAGAAACAUGUUGAAAGUUCUACUUGAGAUUACAGUUGUUUGCUGAAUAUAAGAAAAUAUAUUUUCAGUUGUUACCUCUUCAAAUCGUAGCUAAAAUCACCAAAGUAUUGUUCAUCUGUCAAACUAUACAGCUAUCCCUUACUUUGUAAACUCAGGAACCAAAUAGAUUUGAACACACCUUUUUGAGAUAGGGCUGAUAACACUUUCUCUGUAUAUCCUUGCCUCUUACUAUCUGAACUCAGGAACCAAGCAGAUUUGAAUAGCAAAGUCAUCUUGUAUUCUAUUUCCACAUUAAUUAUCAACACAGUGAAUACACGUGGAAAUAUAUAGCAACAUUUUCCAGUUUCCUUUCCACAAAAUGGGAACCAGUGU